CUGCUGUGAUGAUUUCCAAUUGGUUUCACUCACUACUGAUACCUAGUGAGGAUAUUUUUCUCUUGGCUGUCUGAGCAG
Molecule: small nucleolar RNA, 78 nt
Organism: Laticauda laticaudata (blue-ringed sea krait)
Lineage: Eukaryota; Metazoa; Chordata; Lepidosauria; Squamata; Elapidae
Product: small nucleolar RNA, C/D box 53
Source: Ensembl